AUUGAACGCUGGCGGAAUGCUUUACACAUGCAAGUCGAACGGCAGCACGGGGGCAGCCCUGGUGGCGAGUGGCGAACGGGUGAGUAAUACAUCGGAACGUGCCCGGUCGUGGGGGAUAACGUAGCGAAAGUUGCGCUAAUACCGCAUACGAUCUGAGGAUGAAAGCGGGGGACCUUCGGGCCUCGCGCGAUCGGAGCGGCCGAUGUCAGAUUAGGUAGUUGGUGGGGUAAAGGCCUACCAAGCCGACGAUCUGUAGCUGGUCUGAGAGGACGACCAGCCACACUGGGACUGAGACACGGCCCAGACUCCUACGGGAGGCAGCAGUGGGGAAUUUUGGACAAUGGGCGCAAGCCUGAUCCAGCCAUUCCGCGUGCAGGACGAAGGCCUUCGGGUUGUAAACUGCUUUUGUACGGAACGAAAAGGCUCUGGCUAAUACCUGGGGCUCAUGACGGUACCGUAAGAAUAAGCACCGGCUAACUACGUG
Molecule: ribosomal RNA, 484 nt
Filed under: uncultured bacterium
Lineage: Bacteria
Description: partial 16S ribosomal RNA
Rfam family: Bacterial small subunit ribosomal RNA
Source: RNAcentral